Salarias fasciatus (jewelled blenny) is the source of this 1792-nucleotide long non-coding RNA. RefSeq lists it as uncharacterized. The transcript has 3 exons. The record is from RefSeq and is a predicted model, not a curated record. NCBI's taxonomy places the organism in Eukaryota, Metazoa, Chordata, Actinopteri, Blenniiformes, Blenniidae.
GUAAAAGGUAUCGCUCUGCAGCCAAUGGGAUCUUCUUAGGCAAGACAUGAGCAAUGCACUAUCGAUGUAGCUAUCCGAAGCUAUCAGAAAGUGUUGGACCGUUCUGGACACAUCUGUCUGAUGAGCAAUCCGGUAGCAUUAUGAAGAAUGUCUAUUCAUCUGCUGCACAGCCAUUGGCCACCUUGGACAGUCCUAAGAAAUGUUUGUUUUAUGCUUCUCAAAAGUACAAAGACACCUGGGGAGGAUGUUGACAAAAGACCAGAGGUGAUUGAAGAAUCUGUUCGCGAUGCCACACUCUCCCGUACAAACACAGACCAUGGAAAUGUCUGGUACCUCAGGGAGGCAAACAACACUCCAUUGUCUUCUCAGCAGGUUCUCCCACAAAAAGAUUGUCUCCCAUCUUUUGAAUCACAGACAUCUGAACGACUUACUGCAUUCUAUUUAGAAAAGUUCACAUCCUGAUUGACAACUCUUGACUUUGUCGUGAUCAUUUGAUAAUGAGCUCGUAAUUAUGCUGCAGUGUUUUUCAAACUUGCAAGUAAGGAUUACCUGCAAUUUUGCUCUUUGUUCAGCUACGUUCGUUUAUGUUAGCUCGUUUAAAGUAUGCAAGUUUUGUCCUAUUUCAGUAGUAUACACCCUGGUCCUGUGGAGGAAAAUAUACAUUUACAAUAUCAUAAUAGAGGUAAUCUUACAUUUGCGUAAUUCUGUUGGUAUUGAUGUACAUGCAGUUUUAAGUAUUUGCCAGUCACUUAAAGCAGAAAUCUCUUUUUACCUUCUGAAAAGAAAACUCUUCUGAUUCAGUUAAACUAACAAGCACUCAUUACAUAAUGCUAUCCAAGGUCGGGCUAAGCUGGUAUAUCCUCAAAAGGGCUGAUAUGACUUUGAUAUGGAAAAAUCUAACUAUAAGCUAUUUAAUCAACUUCUUCGAUCUGCUAAUUUAAAUAUAACUUUUAAUGAUGGCUCUUUCAUGACAAAAGUAAUGGCAGUUAAAUAUAUUUGCGUCUGGCUUGAUCCAGAAAUCAAUUUUAAACCACAUAUUGAUUAUAUAAUUAAGCAUAUAUUGUGAUGUCUUAUGCCUCUUUAUAUAUCUUAAAACUGUUUUACACAACAAACAAGAAAAAAGAUUAUAACACAAUUUAUUUUAUCUAUAAUUGACUAUGCAGAUAUACUUUGUCGAAAUACAUUUGAUAACUAUUUGAAACCACUCAAAUUACUGUUUAAUACUCUGUCGAUUUAUUACUAAGGUGCCCUCAUAGAACACAUUACUGUUUAUUAUAUGAACAGCUGAAGUGGUUACUUCCUGAUGAAAGACAACAGUGUCACUGGUUACAAUUUAUCUUCAAAUGUAUUUUUUGUAAUGCACCUCCAAAUUUAAAAUGUUUUCUCAUUCCUUAAACAAUAACAUAUUCUCUUUGCAGUUCUCAGUAUCUGUCCUUUAAUGUACCCUCGACUGAAAAGGAGACUGGUAGAAAGUCUGUCUCAUAUAAGGCCCAAAUGUCUGGAAUUAUCUGCCUGUCAAUCUAAGGUCAAUAACUUCUUAUGGACUCUUUAGGUCUUCAUUGUAUACUCACCUUAAGACUGAUUGCCUAUGCCUGUGACUAACCAUUUAACUAUUCACUGAUAUUGUCUGUGAUUGUAUUAAUUUGUGACAUAAUAUGAUUCACACUCAUGUUUGUAAUAAUUGAAUGUAAAAGUGCACUGUGAUAAUAACUGAGUGUGUGGGUUUGUUUGUGUGAGCAAGAUUCUCCUGUGUCUUGUUUGUCAUUUUUGUAUUGUUUCUCCUGUGUUUUGU